Molecule: ribosomal RNA, 382 nt
Filed under: Streptomyces sp. 7BD3
Lineage: Bacteria; Bacillati; Actinomycetota; Actinomycetes; Kitasatosporales; Streptomycetaceae
Description: bacterial SSU rRNA
Rfam family: Bacterial small subunit ribosomal RNA
Source: RNAcentral
GAUGAAGCCUUUCGGGGUGGAUUAGUGGCGAACGGGUGAGUAACACGUGGGCAAUCUGCCCUUCACUCUGGGACAAGCCCUGGAAACGGGGUCUAAUACCGGAUAAUACCUUCUUCCUCCUGGGAGUGGGUUGAAAGCUCCGGCGGUGAAGGAUGAGCCCGCGGCCUAUCAGCUUGUUGGUGGGGUAAUGGCUUACCAAGGCGACGACGGGUAGCCGGCCUGAGAGGGCGACCGGCCACACUGGGACUGAGACACGGCCCAGACUCCUACGGGAGGCAGCAGUGGGGAAUAUUGCACAAUGGGCGAAAGCCUGAUGCAGCGACGCCGCGUGAGGGAUGACGGCCUUCGGGUUGUAAACCUCUUCAGCAGGGAAGAAGCGAAA